GGGGAUGUAGCUCAGUGGUAGAGUGCUUGCUUAGUGUGCAUGAGGCCCUAUGUUCAAUCCAUUGUACUGCCA
Molecule: transfer RNA, 72 nt
Filed under: Ictidomys tridecemlineatus (thirteen-lined ground squirrel)
Lineage: Eukaryota; Metazoa; Chordata; Mammalia; Rodentia; Sciuridae
Description: Spermophilus tridecemlineatus (thirteen-lined ground squirrel) tRNA
Rfam family: tRNA
About the family: Transfer RNA (tRNA) molecules are approximately 80 nucleotides in length.
Source: Rfam by way of RNAcentral